Molecule: RNA transcript, 1447 nt
Organism: Salvia splendens (bonfire salvia)
Lineage: Eukaryota; Viridiplantae; Streptophyta; Magnoliopsida; Lamiales; Lamiaceae
Gene name: brefeldin A-inhibited guanine nucleotide-exchange protein 1-like
Exons: 2
Source: RefSeq, a predicted model, not a curated record
CUCUCAUGAUAUUUCUCCGCCUUCUCUCUGCCCUCUCUCUCUGGUUUUCCGGCCUUGUUUGCCUGUCAUCUUCUCCGAUCUCUUAGCUCCACCGAUGAUUCUUGGUUCUAGAGAGGUUCAUCGGUUUAGAUCUUGAGUUAGGCGAUUUCUUUGGCGUCCUCCUCAGAUGGAGCUUGAGAAUGAGCCAUAUCCUGUUGUAUUUGACCGUGUCUUAGCGUUCUGGAUUGUUUUAGACCCUGCGGGAUCGAGUGCUUAGUGUGACUAACAUCUUUACUUAGUGUGCAGGUCUAAAUCUGAUGGAGCUUGAGAAUCAGUCCGAGUUGACGGCUGAUUAGUAGCUAGAGUUUCUGAUUUGUUUAGUUUGUACCAAGUAUUCUUGUUAUCUUGAGUUUCUCUCUUGUAUCUUGGCUUGUACCUUUGAGAUUAGCCAUCUCAGAACAAUAUCAAUAAAAGAGGUCCUGGUAAUUAGUGAAUCCCGAAUGGUCUGAUCCCUACAACAUUGAUGAGGAGGAGUUGGAGGCCAUCACAUUCCGGCUCACCAAAAAGGAGAUCACGCUAACUCCGACUUAAUUCAACGCUAUAUUCAAAGUGUACGGAGAUCAGGACAGAGCCAUUUGGCAAGACCCGGAGGACUUUGAUAGAGAUUGGUUCUGGCAGGCAAUCACAGGUCAGCGGGACCCCACAGCCAGGUUCAACCCUUCUAGAGCCAAGAGUAGUGAAACAAGGUACCCGUUUUACGCUACAUGCACAAGGCAUUGGUGUGCCUCUCGUUUGCCCACACAGAGGCUGGGAGUGUCCAGACUGAGAAGCUGUUUGUUCAGAAUCCAUUUAGUAGGAUUUAUGAAAAGUCCAGGUCAAGGGACCUCAAGCGCGGAAGUAGCUGCCUUGAUGCGUUUGGCUGCUGAUUUAGGGAGCAAACUUUAUGAAGAUGAGUGGCAAGAUAUCGUUCUUUGUUUGAAAGAGGCUGCUGAGUCUAGUUUGCCUGGUUUUGCAAAACUUCUGGAAACCAUGGACAGCAUCGAGAUUCCCGAUGUUUCUCAUCCAGAUAAUGAUAUGGAACUGUCUACAGGCCAUGGAGAUGGCUCUGAGGAUGAUAACGAAAACCUUCAAAUGGUAGCGUAUAUUUUAUCAGGGAUGAAUGUCCAUGUUAAUGUACAGCUACUUGUUAUACAGGUUCAUGCUCUCUCUCAGACAUCCAUUUGAACUGUUAUCGUGUUAAUUGUGCUGGUGCUUACCUUUGUUAAGCGUAUCAACUAUGAAAUGGAUGGUCUCAGGAAAGUGUUGCAGAUAUACCUAUGUGUCACAUAAUACUUAAACCAAGGGCAAACUGCCUUCUUCCAUUAGUGUCCGCAAAGGAGGAGGAAUUAGCAGCUCGAACGCACCUAGUUCUAUCAGUUAGUGUGUAAAUACUUUUGUUUAUUAUGUACAAAGUAUAAGAGUUGAGAGU